Megalobrama amblycephala (Wuchang bream) is the source of this 966-nucleotide long non-coding RNA. RefSeq lists it as uncharacterized. The record is from RefSeq and is a predicted model, not a curated record. NCBI's taxonomy places the organism in Eukaryota, Metazoa, Chordata, Actinopteri, Cypriniformes, Xenocyprididae. The transcript is spliced from 3 exons.
ACAAAUGCUACUUGUCACAUUUUCAGUUUGUUUAUUGCUUGUUUAAUCAGUUCCUGUGUUCCUUUGUUCAGUUUCCCGCCACUCAUUUAUUCCCAUGAUUAUGUCAUUACUUUCAGCUGUGUUUAAUCUAUUAUAUUGUUUCCGUUUCCUAUUUAAGUUGCACCCUUGCCUGCACUCUUUGUCUAGUCACUGUUAUGUGUUUGUACGACCUGUUUGCCUCCUAUUUAAGUUGGAAUUAAACCUUUUUGAGUUUUUGUAACCUGAUUUUCUGUCUUCUUCGGUUACCUGCAUACAUUGUGACACUACUAGUACCUGGAGGAGAACCUUGUCUACCCCUCAACUCAAGCUGAGUCCCAUUGUUCUUGAUGGAUGAAACUGCUGACACAGAUACACAAACGGCACAAGACUUCCCAUGGACCCUUGCUCUCACUGGCACAGGAUGUAAUGAAAACCAACCGGCCUCAGCAGAAUACAUGCUUUGAUGUCCACUAGCACUCAACCCUUUCUCUUUCUCACUCUCUUUUUGUCUCUUUCCCUCAUGGAAACCAAAAGACAUUUUCUCUGUUCCUGCUUCCCUAUCUUUCCUUCUCAAUUCCUUCUGAGGAUAUUUGAAAGCCUGACUGCACUAUAUAAAUGAAACAUUUCAUUUAUAAUAGAACAUCAAAACAGCUCGGUGAGAGUCCUAAAGGACAAAUGCACAGGGAAAGCAAAUUUACACACCAUAUUUACAAAAAUGUAGUGUAAAUAAACAGUAGAAGAGCUAAGACUGCAAAAUGAAGAAAAAAUAUAUACAAAUAAACACACUUGCUGCAGAUGAUAUCACACAGAAAUUUAGUCCAAUUAGCAGCCUUCACAUUUGUACACAGAAAUAUUUAUAUAAAUAUUUAUUAAAUUAAAUAAUAAGUACACUACUGUUCAAACGUAAUUUUUUAAUGUUUUUGAAAGAAGUUUCUUAUGCUCACCAAG